Long non-coding RNA from Octopus sinensis (East Asian common octopus), 172 nucleotides. RefSeq lists it as uncharacterized. The record is from RefSeq and is a predicted model, not a curated record. Lineage: Eukaryota; Metazoa; Mollusca; Cephalopoda; Octopoda; Octopodidae. The transcript has 3 exons.
CGUCGUUGUUGUUAACCACUAAAACCACUUAUAGAAGAGAAUGUGACCAAAGACUGCAUAUACUCCAUCCCAUGGAGCUGUGAUAGGUUAUACAAAGGCGAAACAUGCCCCCCCCCCAUCAAAAUAAGAGUAGACGAACAUCGCAAAGCUCUGACACGAGGAGAUAUUGAUA